UACGUAGGGUGCGAGCGUUGUCCGGAAUUAUUGGGCGUAAAGGGCUCGUAGGCGGUCUGUUGCGUCAGGAGUGAAAACUCGGGGCUUAACCCCGAGCCUGCUUCUGAUACGGGCAGACUAGAGGUAUGCAGGGGAGAACGGAAUUCCUGGUGUAGCGGUGAAAUGCGCAGAUAUCAGGAGGAACACCGGUGGCGAAGGCGGUUCUCUGGGCAUUACCUGACGCUGAGGUGCGAAAGCGUGGGGAGCAAACAGG
RNAcentral lists this ribosomal RNA (253 nucleotides) under uncultured bacterium. RNAcentral's name for it is "partial 16S ribosomal RNA". It matches the Rfam family "Bacterial small subunit ribosomal RNA", at positions 524 to 776 of the family's 1533-position model. The record is from RNAcentral.